GAUGAACGCUAGCGGCAGGCCUAAUACAUGCAAGUCGAACGGGAUCCAGAUCAAAGCUUGCUUUGGUUUGGUGAGAGUGGCGCACGGGUGCGUAACGCGUGAGCAACCUACCCUUGUCAGGGGGAUAGCCCGGCGAAAGUCGGAUUAAUACCGCAUGACAUCAUUGAGAGGCAUCUUUCGAUGAUCAAAGAUUUAUCGGACAAGGAUGGGCUCGCGUGACAUUAGCUAGUUGGUAAGGUAACGGCUUACCAAGGCUACGAUGUCUAGGGGCUCUGAGAGGAGAAUCCCCCACACUGGUACUGAGACACGGACCAGACUCCUACGGGAGGCAGCAGUAAGGAAUAUUGGUCAAUGGACGGAAGCCUGAACCAGCCAUGCCGCGUGCAGGAAGACGGCCCUAUGGGUUGUAAACUGCUUUUAUACGGGAACAAACGUCGGUACGUGUACCGGUCUGAGUGUACCGUAAGAAUAAGGAUCGGCUAACUCCGUG
RNAcentral lists this ribosomal RNA (490 nucleotides) under uncultured bacterium. RNAcentral's name for it is "partial 16S ribosomal RNA". It matches the Rfam family "Bacterial small subunit ribosomal RNA", at positions 28 to 507 of the family's 1533-position model. The record is from RNAcentral.